This 1340-nucleotide long non-coding RNA is filed under the name Homo sapiens (human). RNAcentral describes it as "non-protein coding LINC-PINT:89". Lineage: Eukaryota; Metazoa; Chordata; Mammalia; Primates; Hominidae. The record is from RNAcentral.
CGCCCACCGCGCGGAGGACAACUUUUAGCCGGCAGCCCAGACCAGCGCGGCACCUGUCUCCGGAGUCUCCACCGCUCCUCCCGAUUCAUCCCAGGGAAAUUCUCAAGAAUACGCUCUACAAAUCUACGUGCGCAUCAUUUUCACCUCGCGUCGCGCCCGGGAGGAAGGAACGAGGCAAGGAGCUAAAGCAGCGUGCGUUCAGCCCUGGGGCAUUUUAUUAAUGCUUUUACGAGUUAGAAGAGUUGGGAUAAUUUGCCAUCUGGAGUUUCUCUGCCUUGCUGAUCUGAGCUCAGACCUGCCAAUUUACCAGAGAUAAUUGAUAACACCCUGUAACAGCUGAGAGGAAAAUGGAAGAAACGGAGAUACUUUUAGUGAAGCAGAAUAAACCACUGAACAGAUGGAGUCUCACUCUGUUGCCCAGACUGGAAUGCAGUGGUGUGAUCUCAACUGACUGCAACCUCCGUAUCCUGGGUUCAAGCAACUCUCCUGCUGCAGCCACGAAAAAUGAGGAAGCUGUGAGUACCAGUGGAAGGAACGAGCCAGGAAGAGGGACUGGAACCAUCUCAGAAGCCAUGCCCCUCAGGCUGGAACUUGCCCUGUCUCCUCGCAGAUGAGCUACCUCUUGUGUUUAAGAAUUAAAGGAAGAUGAGCUAGGAAUCAAGAAAUACGCAGAACUGAUUCCUGUCACUGGCGCCACCCUGCCACUUGCCCAGAGCUGUGGUAUAAAUUUUUUUAAUAGGCUGAAAUAAAAAUAUGAAUAGCAUUUUGGUAUUAAGCAUUAAAUUGAUAAAGGCUAUGAGAUACACCUGCUCUCAACCAUGUUAAUUUUUUAUUAUUGGUAUUAAUAAAUUAUUACUUACUAACAUAUUAACAAGAAUUGCAUUGAGAAACAAAGCAUCCACAGGCCAAAUCUUCUGAAUUUCAAAUGUUUAUAUUAAUGCGUUGUAUUCUAGAAAAGUAGAAUUGUCUUAAGUAGCUUUGUAAUAUAAAGUCAUCUAUCAGCCCAUUACACCUAUUAGAAUGUUUUAACCUUUAUUUCCCACUUUUUUGUUUCUAGACUGAGUGUACUUGGUCUGGUAUUUGUGGCAUAACUUACGGAACACAUAAGAAUGAUACAGAUACUAUUUAAUGAUGACCUAAUACAAGCUUAGAUAGCUAAGGUGAAAGCUUCUAUGGCCUUAACAUUUUCCUCUUGAAGAAUGUAUUUUCUGUAAUAAAAUACAGUGGCUACUUGAAAUCUAUAAACUUAUGUGAGGUCUGGAUAAAUCUGAGCAACUUUCUUCUUUGUGCUCCAGGAACCUACGCACUAUAUAUAUAAAUAAAGCUUAAGUAAACAUCAC